Anguilla anguilla (European eel) is the source of this 392-nucleotide long non-coding RNA. RefSeq lists it as uncharacterized. The transcript has 2 exons. Lineage: Eukaryota; Metazoa; Chordata; Actinopteri; Anguilliformes; Anguillidae. The record is from RefSeq and is a predicted model, not a curated record.
GCAGGAACCUAGGUAAAGCGAGGGAUACGUUUCACCUACCUAAAACCUAUCUAACUGGCGAACUACUCAGGGAAGAGGGGUGGGAAAACACGCAACCAUUUUACCAUGAUGUCAUCCCAAACAGGAACAAAUGAAGAAUCACUAGCUCCGGUCACAUCAACACACUACUAUUGAAGGCCAUUAUCUGCUCAAAUGGCCUUCCAUAAAACUAAUGGGCUGACAAUCACCGCAAUGCUCCUCCCAACCACCAGGGUGUGUGCUUCCUGACACUGCAGCUCUGCACUGAUGCUCAAUGGAGAAAUACACAGCAUCCCAACAGCAUUUCCUUGUGACCUCAUUUCUUCAUUUAAUAAACACUGAAUUUUACUCGCUUUGUUGCCAAGUACAAUGAA